GGUUGUGGCUCAGUGGUAGAGUGCAUGCCUAGCACAUGGGAGGCACUGAGUUCAAACCUCAGCACUA
Molecule: transfer RNA, 67 nt
Filed under: Marmota monax (woodchuck)
Lineage: Eukaryota; Metazoa; Chordata; Mammalia; Rodentia; Sciuridae
Description: tRNA.Ala
Source: RNAcentral